RNAcentral lists this long non-coding RNA (301 nucleotides) under Homo sapiens (human). RNAcentral's name for it is "HSALNT0139558". Lineage: Eukaryota; Metazoa; Chordata; Mammalia; Primates; Hominidae. The record is from RNAcentral.
UGAUUGGAGGUCAUUGGGAAACACUGUGGGUCUUCUCUGUCUGGCCUUGAAGGUAGGUUGUAAAUGUAUGAAACAAAAUUGUGGCUGGAUGAAGAAGGUGGCAAAGGUAUAUAAAUCAUGUGUUACAGAAAUCCAGAUUUAUCAUCCUAGAGCAACUGUUCUUACUUUUGACUGCAUAUCAAAAUCAAAUGGGGAGAGUUUGUUGCAUUUGCUAGUGGUUUUGAAUUUCUAUUUUGAAACUUUUGUUUUCAAAGUUUUAACCUCAAAUGCAUUAAUAAAGAAAGUAAAUAAGAGGAAUCCA